UACGAAGGGGGCUAGCGUUGCUCGGAUUCAUUGGGCGUAAAGGGUGCGUAGGCGGCGCGGUAAGUCGGGUGUGAAAUCUCGGAGCUUAACUCCGAAACUGCAUUCGAUACUGCCGUGCUUGAGGACUGGAGAGGAGACUGGAAUUUACGGUGUAGCGGUGAAAUGCGUAGAUAUCGUAAGGAAGACCAGUGGCGAAGGCAGCUUGCUGGGCAACUCCUGACACUGAGGUACGAAAGCGUGGGGAGCAAACAGG
Molecule: ribosomal RNA, 253 nt
Filed under: uncultured bacterium
Lineage: Bacteria
Description: partial 16S ribosomal RNA
Rfam family: Bacterial small subunit ribosomal RNA
Source: RNAcentral